Drosophila melanogaster (fruit fly) is the source of this 918-nucleotide non-coding RNA. The record is from Ensembl. Lineage: Eukaryota; Metazoa; Arthropoda; Insecta; Diptera; Drosophilidae.
AGCACACAUCAAAAAUCAAUAAUCGAUUAAAUAAUUAGAAAAUUGUGAAAAUUACUGUAAUUUUGAAAUCAAUUCGAUGCAUGCGACCACAGCGACCGUCGAUCGCCUCGUCGGGUGUCAAACAACAGUCUCGUCUCGGCCGGAGCAUAAAUAAUCACAUUAUAAUAAAAUAAUGCAAUGCCCUCGAUGAGAGGACCGCUACAGCUCCAGCUCCAGCUCCAGCUUCAGCUCCCUACGCCCAGAUAUAUCCCAGAUUCCAGAUUCAAUUUAAAUGGAAAACACUUUCCUACGGACCAAGUCGCUCCAAUUAAUAUUCGCGGUGUGCCGCGAUCACCGCGAGCUGAUAAAGUGCGGCUCAUAUAUUUUGUCAUAAAUUUCAAACGCGCUCGACAGCUGCUCGACUCAUCAAUCAGCCCCAGUCCAGGUCCAGGUCCACUCCAGAUUCGAUCCGAUCGGAGCCGGAGCACGUGGAGCGUGCGGACUUUGGCAAACACUCGAUUAAAAUCAACUUCAAUUUGUAAUAAAUCAAAAGUCCUAUCAAAAGCGUAUCCGCGGAAUAUCACGAGGCGAUCGGGGCACCCAAAAGGGCUGAGCUGCGGAGGAGGUUUGCCCCGGACCAAUGAAGAAAUUUUGGCCGGCCAUGUGGCUCCUCAUCCCGGUUAGGCCUGGAUGAUGAAUGGUUAUUGAUUCGAAGGAAUCGCGACCGCCCCCUUUUGGUUCCUCAGUCUCCCAUCAUCGUAAGUAUUUCGACGGAUAGUAGGAAUAUUGGCGAUUGUAGGUGGGCCAAUCCACAGAUGUCCAGCAUUCUGCAGCUUUUAAUAUAUAAAUGCGCACAGCCUAAACAUUACAUUUUCUGUUUCUUGGCAUGUGAAUUACACCUCAGGUGGUUGUAAAGAUGUAAAAUCCUUAGAAAACGAA